GUAUGUAUAUAUGUACCAGUGAUGGAAAAUGUGCCAUUGGGAAUGAAAGAUUUAAUAGCAUGUCAUUGUGAACGAGAUAUGUGAAACGAAGAAGUAACUAGCUUUUAUGUGCGCGCAAUUUGAAUGAAUAAUUAAUGAAAGCCGACAAAUUAGAGAAACUGCAAUGGAUAAUUGGAUUGUUCGCAAGAAACGUGAAAAUGCAGCUGCAGGCAAUGAUGAGAACAAUAACGAAGAAAGCAACGUAGUUUCCGUGGCGAAAAAGUAAAAGUAUGAGAUCAAAUUUAAGAGGGAGUGGGCAUCCAAGUACAAUUGGCUCCAAGAAGACUCUACCGCAAAGCAAGGUAAGAGGUGCAUGAUAUGCGGUGUUCCAAUUUACGGCAAUAUGUUUCACAUCGAUCGGCAUUCAAAUUCAGACCUC
This is a long non-coding RNA of Rhagoletis zephyria (snowberry fruit fly), 418 nucleotides long. RefSeq lists it as uncharacterized. Lineage: Eukaryota; Metazoa; Arthropoda; Insecta; Diptera; Tephritidae. The record is from RefSeq and is a predicted model, not a curated record.